RNAcentral lists this long non-coding RNA (214 nucleotides) under Ananas comosus (pineapple). Its description in RNAcentral is "long non-coding RNA (ACOM_LNC044240)". Lineage: Eukaryota; Viridiplantae; Streptophyta; Magnoliopsida; Poales; Bromeliaceae. The record is from RNAcentral.
CCCAAUUUUACGUUUUUCACUUAAAUUCCUCCAUCUUCUCACGUUCAUCAUUACUUAUACACUCAACAGUAUAACAACAUAAAAAAAGAAACCAGUUUCAUUAAACAUUAAAGAUCACUAAUUCUCUGCGAUCAAAUGCUUACAACAUCACAAUCAACUAAUCUGUAAUAACUACAACACGAACCCAAGUCACACACAUCCACUGAGAAAUAGA